Long non-coding RNA from Medicago truncatula (barrel medic), 950 nucleotides. RefSeq lists it as uncharacterized. Lineage: Eukaryota; Viridiplantae; Streptophyta; Magnoliopsida; Fabales; Fabaceae. The transcript has 2 exons. The record is from RefSeq and is a predicted model, not a curated record.
CAUUGAGGUUAUAAAAAGCCAUGGGGGAAUGGUUUCCUUCAUGUUCAGUGUCAUUAUCAGAGCUCCUUGCUCAUUGAUACAGUGACACUCCUUACAUAUAUUAUACCAUAUGAUACGACCUGUGUUAGUUUCUUCAUAUAAUUACUUUCAUUACUUGUACUAACUAACCUUGCUUAUUGAAUAUGUAUAUAUCACACAGAUCUAGCUGAUAGAAUCAUGGAAGGAUGCAUGGCGAAUGGUAAAUGAGAGAGAGCUUUCUUUAGUCCACUCAUGGGUUGCUGUAAGAUUUAAUUAGCUGCUGACUCAUUCAUCCAAAUGCUGAGUAAAAUAUACUCAAGUAUACUCUGCAAAUGAGUGAAUGAUGCGGGAGACAAAUUGAGUCUUAAGCUUCCUGUAUUUGGACUGAAGGGAGCUCCCUUUCUUUCUUCCUAUUAUAUAUCUCUUUCAUUUUGCUUCUGAUCUCUUUCUUUAAUCUCUUUUUCCUUAAUAUUUUCAUAUUUGCAUACACAUGAGAUUUAUCUAAACUAAAAGCACCCGCACGUUCUUACCCUUUAAGGAAAUAUAAUUAAUUAAAACUUUCUUCUUGUUAUGACUGACUUGUGUAAGAUCUUGGACUAUACUGUAUUUGCUUUUAAGAGUGAGUAAUUAACAAUGGUCGUGGGGUUUCUUUGGUACGGCAAAAUGGAUUCCAACAGUAAGCAAGAUAGAUCGCACUUGAGAGACACAAGACAAGAUCAUGAGGAGCAGGUCGAGUCCAUCUUCUGCUGUAUUCUCGGGCCUCGUCUUUUCUCAGCUGCAACAAGUUCCUAGACUUGAAUCGAUGUCUCCCACAGCACCACCAUUGCAGUUUCCAAUAUUUUAUGCUUUUGCCCUUGUAAAAUGCAAAUUCGUAUUGUAUGUGUUAUUUCAAUUCAAUCAAAAUAAGAUUAGUCAAUUUUUGCGCCGAUUAA